This is a small nucleolar RNA of Sphaeramia orbicularis (orbiculate cardinalfish), 79 nucleotides long. Ensembl annotates it as small nucleolar RNA SNORD71. The record is from Ensembl. Lineage: Eukaryota; Metazoa; Chordata; Actinopteri; Kurtiformes; Apogonidae.
GAAAUGCUGUAUGAUGAUACAAUGAGUGAUCCAUCGGCUGACAAAUAAUGCUGAUACAUUUGUUUUCUGACAGCAUUUG